CAGCAGCCACGGGAAUACGAAGGGGGCUAGCGUUGCCCGGAAUUACUGGGCGUAAAGGGCGCGUAGGCGGACAGUUCAGUCGGGGGUGAAAGCCCGGGGCUCAACCUCGGAAUUGCCUUCGAUACUGGCUGUCUUGAGUAUGAGAGAGGUGUGUGGAACUCCGAGUGUAGAGGUGAAAUUCGUAGAUAUUCGGAAGAACACCAGUGGCGAAGGCGACACACUGGCUCAUUACUGACGCUGAGGCGCGAAAGCGUGGGGAGCAAACAGGAUUAGAUACCCCGGUAGUCCCUGUCUCUUAUAC
RNAcentral lists this ribosomal RNA (301 nucleotides) under uncultured bacterium. RNAcentral describes it as "partial 16S ribosomal RNA". It matches the Rfam family "Bacterial small subunit ribosomal RNA", at positions 509 to 807 of the family's 1533-position model. The record is from RNAcentral.